RNAcentral lists this ribosomal RNA (1518 nucleotides) under metagenome. Its description in RNAcentral is "bacterial SSU rRNA". It matches the Rfam family "Bacterial small subunit ribosomal RNA". The record is from RNAcentral.
AGAGUUUGAUCCUGGCUCAGAACGAACACUGGCGGCGUGGAUUAGGCAUGCAAGUCGAACGAGAAAGUUUCCUUCGGGAAACGAGUACAGUGGCGAACGGGUGAGUAACGCGUGGGAAAUCUGCCCUUUUAUGGGGGAUAACAGUUCUAACGAGCUGCUAAUACCGCAUAAGCCCUUUGGGUCGCAUGACCUGGAGGGGAAAGAUGGCCUCUACAUGUAAGCUGUCGUAGAAGGAUGAUCCCGCGUCCCAUUAGCUAGUUGGUGGGGUAAAAGCCUACCAAGGCGACGAUGGGUAGCCGGCCUGAGAGGGUGUCCGGCCACACUGGGACUGAGAUACGGCCCAGACUCCUACGGGAGGCAGCAGUCGAGAAGCUUCCGCAAUGGGGGAAACCCUGACGGAGCGACGCCGCGUGAGUGAAGAAGGCCCUAUGGGUUGUAAAGCUCUGUCAGAUUGGGAAGAAAACUCUACGGGUAAUAUCCGUAGAGCUUGACGGUACCAUCAGAGGAAGCACCGGCUAACUCCGUGCCAGCAGCCGCGGUAAUACGGAGGGUGCAAGCGUUGUUCGGAUUCACCGGGUAUAAAGGGUGCGCAGGCGGCCCGAUAAGUCAGAGGUGAAAUAUGACGGCUCAACCGUCAAACGGCCCCUGAAACUGUAAGGCUUGAGUUCGAGAGAGGUAGGUGGAAUUCCAGGUGUAGCGGUGAAAUGCGUAAAUAUCUGGAGGAACACCGGUGGCGAAGGCGGCCUACUGGCUCGAUACUGACGCUCAGGCACGAAAGCAUGGGGAGCGAACGGGAUCAGAUACCCCGGUAGUCCAUGCCGUAAACGAUGGGUACUAGGUGUUGGGGGAGUCUACCCCUGCCGUGCCGAAGCUAACGCAUUAAGUGCUCCGCCUGGGGAGUACGGUCGCAAGGCUGAAACUCAAAGGAAUGACGGGGGCCCGCACAAGCGGUGGAGCAUGUGGUUCAAUUCGACGCAACGCGAAGAACCUUACCUGGGUUUGAACUGUUAGGGACCGGUGCAGAGAUGUACCUUUCCUUCGGGACCCUAGUAGAGGUGCUGCAUGGCUGUCGUCAGCUCGUGUCGUGAGAUGUUGGGUUAAGUCCCGCAACGAGCGCAACCCUUGCCCUCUGUUGCCACCGGGUAAUGCCGAGCACUCUGAGGGGACUGCCGGUGAUAAACCGGAGGAAGGUGGGGAUGACGUCAAGUCCUCAUGGCCUUUAUGCCCAGGGCUACACACGUGCUACAAUGGUCGGUACAAAGGGUUGCAAAGCCGCGAGGUGGAGCUAAUCCCAAAAAGCCGGCCCCAGUUCGGAUUGGAGUCUGCAACUCGACUCCAUGAAGUUGGAAUCGCUAGUAAUCGCGGAUCAGCAGGCCGCGGUGAAUACGUUCCCGGGCCUUGUACACACCGCCCGUCACAUCACGAAAGUUGGCUGUACUAGAAGUCGCUAGGCUAACCCUUCGGGGAGGCAGGUGCCGACGGUAUGGCUGAUGAUUGGGGUGAAGUCGUAACAAGGUA